AAUAAUUGGCAAGGCAAUAUGGAAAGUGACUUCAGCCAGGUUCGAACCGGUGCAGAAUUUGAAAUUACCAAGCGCGCCUAACUCAAAACGCCAGCGUUUUGAUUCAACCCUAGUGCCUGGCGCGCUGCAUGGAUUUCGUAGCAAAAUUCAAAAUGAACAUGCAAGUUUCGUAGCUAAAACGUAGAUAAACCGUGGCCAAAAAUGGAAAUGAUGAUGUUCAUGCAAGCACGAUGAAGAUCAUGAAGAUCUUC
This 251-nucleotide long non-coding RNA is filed under the name Lathyrus oleraceus (garden pea). Its description in RNAcentral is "Pisum sativum (pea) long non-coding RNA (PSAT_LNC016699)". The record is from RNAcentral. Lineage: Eukaryota; Viridiplantae; Streptophyta; Magnoliopsida; Fabales; Fabaceae.